GUGGCGAACGGGUGAGUAACACGUGAGUAACCUGCCCCAGACUCCGGGAUAAGCCUUGGAAACGAGGUCUAAUACUGGAUAUGAGAUGCCCCUGCAUGGGGAGUGUCUGGAAAGAUUUAUCGGUCUGGGAUGGACUCGCGGCCUAUCAGCUUGUUGGUGGGGUAAUGGCCCACCAAGGCGACGACGGGUAGCCGGCCUGAGAGGGCGACCGGCCACACUGGGACUGAGACACGGCCCAGACUCCUACGGGAGGCAGCAGUGGGGAAUAUUGCACAAUGGGCGAAAGCCUGAUGCAGCGACGCCGCGUGAGGGAUGAAGGCCUUCGGGUUGUAAACCUCUUUCAGCAGGGAAGAAGCGCAAGUGACGGUACCUGCAGAAGAAGCGCCGGCUAACUACGUGCCAGCAGCCGCGGUAAUACGUAGGGCGCAAGCGUUGUCCGGAAUUAUUGGGCGUAAAGAGCUCGUAGGCGGUUUGUCGCGUCUGGUGUGAAAACUCAAGGCUCAACCUUGAGCUUGCAUCGGGUACGGGCAGACUAGAGUGCGGUAGGGGUGACUGGAAUUCCUGGUGUAGCGGUGGAAU
RNAcentral lists this ribosomal RNA (579 nucleotides) under Oerskovia sp. I14A-00911. RNAcentral describes it as "bacterial SSU rRNA". It matches the Rfam family "Bacterial small subunit ribosomal RNA", at positions 95 to 687 of the family's 1533-position model. The record is from RNAcentral. Lineage: Bacteria; Bacillati; Actinomycetota; Actinomycetes; Micrococcales; Cellulomonadaceae.